CCUUGUACACACCGCCCGUCAAGCCACGAAAGCUGACAGUACCCGAAGUCGGUGGCCCAACUCGUAAGAGGGGGAGCCGUCGAAGGUGGGACUGGCGAUUGGACU
This 105-nucleotide ribosomal RNA is filed under the name uncultured bacterium. Its description in RNAcentral is "partial 16S ribosomal RNA". The record is from RNAcentral.